AUUCCAUGAUGAGAGCAUGCUAUAGUACAAGCCAUCAUGCAUUUCUAAGUUUCCCACAAGCUUUCACAAUCUCUUUGAUGAAACCUUGCAAUCUCAUUUCUAAACCU
Arabis alpina (gray rockcress) is the source of this 107-nucleotide small nucleolar RNA. It matches the Rfam family "Plant small nucleolar RNA R71". Rfam says of the family: R71 is a member of the C/D box family of snoRNAs containing the C (UGAUGA) and D (CUGA) box motifs. Multiple nearly identical copies of this snoRNA have been identified in Arabidopsis, and it is thought to function as a 2'-O-ribose methylation guide for 18S ribosomal RNA. NCBI's taxonomy places the organism in Eukaryota, Viridiplantae, Streptophyta, Magnoliopsida, Brassicales, Brassicaceae. The record is from Rfam.